UACGUAGGCAGCAAGCGUUGUUCGGAGUUACUGGGCGUAAAGGGUGCGUAGGCGGUCCUGUAAGUAUGGUGUGAAAUCUCCCGGCUUAACUGGGAGGGUGCGCUAUAGACUGCGGGACUAGAGGGUGGGAGAGGAAAGUGGAAUUCCUGGUGUAGCGGUGAAAUGCGUAGAUAUCAGGAGGAACACCGGUGGUGUAAACGGCUUUCUGGACCAUUUCUGACGCUGAGGCACGAAAGCGUGGGUAGCAAACAGG
Molecule: ribosomal RNA, 253 nt
Filed under: uncultured bacterium
Lineage: Bacteria
Description: partial 16S ribosomal RNA
Rfam family: Bacterial small subunit ribosomal RNA
Source: RNAcentral